AUGACAAUAGUACUCCUUAGCAGAGGCAGCAGAGAAGUAAACAGGAGGGUAGGCAUUAACCUGAGCCAGUGGGGAAAGGUGAAAGAGCAGACUUUAUGCAAUUUGCUGGGAAGAAAUGAUUCUGACAGGUGUGCUGGGCUUUUCCUUCCAGAUGUGAAUUCAGAAAACAAGUUGAGAGUGUGGUGGAAAUGUUUUACUUUGGGUGUAUGUGUUCAACAACUAAAGGAAUUGAAGGAGAUCCAAGGUGGCUGAAUAGGGAAAACACAGGCUGAUUUUGACCACAAGAAGAUACCAGAAGACAAGGGGAGAAACUGCAUUCCCAGGGGUCUGCUGGAGAGAAGAUUUCCUGGAAAAUCUACAGGAAAAAAAGAGAGAUUCCUUGGAGCAGCACACAGCAGCUGGCAAGACACCAACAGCGACUCCUACAGGCAGUGGUUGGUGAGGAUGCCAUCUACUCAGAGCAAGCCAAGAGGAGCCUGCAGCUGCUCUUGCACCACUGGCAAUCUUGUCUGAGAAGAACCCUGUGGACCCCACUGAUUUUUGAGGUCAGCCAGAAAGUUGGCAGAGACAGGGCGCCCACUUAACUCCAUGAAGGGAGAGUACAUUGCUUUCCUCCCCUCACUCCCACCAAGGCACUCAGUGCCCAGUAUGUGGUGGGGAGAAGAAGUACCAUUUUUCCAAAAUAAGGCACAUAGAGGCUUCUGAGGCCAGCACAAUAUUGGUGGAUUUUGUCUGAGGGAGAAAUCUGUAGUCCCCACUGACUUCAAGACUGGACUGGAAAGUUGGCAGGCAGUAGGGUACACAGUAAGCACUAUGAAGUCAGGGAACAUUGCUCAACCCCCUUCCCACAGGCAAGCUCCAGUCUCAGCUUCCAGAGGCUAAGAACCAACCAAUCUCUGUAGGGCAGGAUGGUUCUGGGGAUGGGGUGGCUUUCUCCAUGGACAGGGAGGCUCAAAGGGCAGACAGUGCACCAUGUGAUGGUGGGAAUCCUGUUAUUGUGUGAUAGGUUGGGAAACAGAAGGGUGUGUGGUAUGGUUGGAUAUUUGAGGAAUCACUGGGUCCAACUUUAGAAGCUCAGAAUUCCCUGAGUGCUAGGGAGGGUCAUUGUGAAGGACUCUGUGCUCACACUGCAAAACACAUAUAUCUUUUAUGCAGUCUGUGCAUCACAGUGGGUAGGGUGUACAGAUACUGUAAGCUCACCAUAGGCAGUUGGGUCACACUGGCACACA
RNAcentral lists this long non-coding RNA (1229 nucleotides) under Oryctolagus cuniculus (rabbit). RNAcentral describes it as "lncRNA (ENSOCUG00000032393.1)". Lineage: Eukaryota; Metazoa; Chordata; Mammalia; Lagomorpha; Leporidae. The record is from RNAcentral.